UACGGGGGGAGCAAGCGUUGUUCGGAUUUACUGGGCGUAAAGGGCGCGUAGGCGGUCAGCACAAGUCAGUUGUGAAAUCUCCGGGCUUAACUCGGAAAGGUCAACUGACACUGUGCGACUAGAGUGCGGAAGGGGCAACUGGAAUUCUCGGUGUAGCGGUGAAAUGCGUAGAUAUCGAGAGGAACACCUGCGGCGAAGGCGGGUUGCUGGGCCGACACUGACGCUGAUGCGCGAAAGCCAGGGGAGCGAACGGG
This 254-nucleotide ribosomal RNA is filed under the name uncultured bacterium. Its description in RNAcentral is "partial 16S ribosomal RNA". It matches the Rfam family "Bacterial small subunit ribosomal RNA", at positions 524 to 776 of the family's 1533-position model. The record is from RNAcentral.